GGGCCCGCACAAGCGGUGGAGCAUGUGGUUUAAUUCGAUGAUACGCGAGGAACCUUACCAGGGCUUAAAUGUAGUGGGACAGGUCUAGAGAUAGACCCUUCUUCGGACAUUUUGCAAGGUGCUGCAUGGUUGUCGUCAGCUCGUGCCGUGAGGUGUCAGGUUAAGUCCUAUAACGAGCGCAACCCCUAUCAUUAGUUGCCAGCGGGUAAUGCCGGGAACUCUAACGAAACUGCCAGUGCAAACUGUGAGGAAGGUGGGGAUGACGUCAAAUCAUCACGGCCCUUACGUCCUGGGCUACACACGUGCUACAAUGGCCGGUACAGAGAGCAGCCACUUCGCAAGAAGGAGCGAAUCUAUUAAAACCGGUCUCAGUUCGGAUCGGAGUCUGCAACUCGACUCCGUGAAGCUGGAAUC
RNAcentral lists this ribosomal RNA (414 nucleotides) under uncultured bacterium. Its description in RNAcentral is "bacterial SSU rRNA". It matches the Rfam family "Bacterial small subunit ribosomal RNA", at positions 917 to 1333 of the family's 1533-position model. The record is from RNAcentral.